This 1254-nucleotide long non-coding RNA is filed under the name Cavia porcellus (domestic guinea pig). RNAcentral's name for it is "lncRNA (ENSCPOG00000034433.1)". Lineage: Eukaryota; Metazoa; Chordata; Mammalia; Rodentia; Caviidae. The record is from RNAcentral.
GUUAAAAUUAACAGAGGAAACGUCUUGGGCAGGGAGAAGGUAUGACUCAUCAUACAGAGGCCUGCAGCUGACUGGGGAAUUAGGGGCACUGCAGUCAUUUGAGAAUGCUCAGCCUGAGCCCCAGAGCUGUGGCAGGAAGACUGUCCUGUGAAGGGAAGGUCUGGCUCCAGCCCUUGGUGACACCAAACAGUGACGAGGCCACGUGACAAAAUGGCAGCACAAAAAUGAGAUUUAACUCCUCUCCCAGGAAAGAAAAGAAAGAAGAGAAACAGUUGAAUGAGCAUGGUAACAUGAGUGUGACCUGCAGGGGACAAUGGGAAGACUGCAGGAGGAGUACCUUCCCCUCUGUCUUGCAGAGAGCUGUCACUUCCGGAGAGGGCCGAGUAUCCUGGUCCUGUGGCAGGGGUCACUGGCGCUCUGUCCUGCCCACCAGACAUUGCUGCAGCUGGGUGACGCUACUGGUUGGAGAGGGGCAAGGGCAGAUACUUCAAGAGUGUCUUCAGGGGCAGGGGAAGCAGGAAGCUCUGGAGGCCCACAGCUCAAGGGGAAUCUGACCCCACUACGCUUCCCUGGCCACUCUGCUCAGGAAUCACCCAAGGCAGCACCUGCCCUCAUGAGGGUUCUAGACCUGGAUGCAGAGUCAUGAGGAAACUGUAGGGUUAAAGGAAAGGCAGAGCAGCAGCUGGCCAAUCUGUCCUCUGCAAAGCUGAAGAGUGGGACCACUGUUUCAAGUCAUCCAUGUGGAAAAAGGUCGGGUGGGGUAAAAAAGGAUCCGCUGGCGCUCUGCAAGUUCCGAGGCCGCCAUUGAGGAGACGACGCGACUCCAUCCUGGGUUAAACUGGCGGAUCAACGCGGAAGGCUCUGAGGAUAGGCCUAGUGUGCGGAAGGUCAUCGGCGGGAGUAGGGGUGGAGUGUUCAGCGCACCCCGGGUCUCCUGUGCCUCUGGCUCUGCUCGUUCUGCUCCCGGUACAGAGGGUCCUUGGACCCUGAGGCUGGCAUGGGAACUUUGUCCUGUUUGAUGCUGCUUUUUAAAUCUUAAAACAAGUUAUCCUAUGGAGCCCGCAGUUACUGCAAGCGGCUCGGAGACUUCCCUUUGUCUCCCCUCCUAGCGGAGCCUGCGGAUAGGGGUCGUACGCGCGGCAGCAGCGGGGCUCCAAUAGGACGCUUGGGCCAGCCCGCGGGGCGCCGGGCCGGGCCAAGGCCGCUGUCCAAGGGCCGUCCCAGGGAUGGGCAGGCCAAUGUCCUCUGGCCGGC